UAAAUUUGAGGUGUAAUAUUUCCAACCAAGAAAAAUACAUCUUCAAUCUUAUUUUCUUCUAGGUCGUGCCUAUGAGUGGGCCAUUGCCAAUAAGCACCAGGAAAAAAUAUAUGCAAGUGUGUGUACAGAGGCAAUGAAAAUUAGUAGUUUCCACAUAAGCUGAUCAAAUGAAAUAAUUCGUCAACGUUCUGAGAUACAAGUUUGUCCACCAAAGAAACAAAACAUUGCUAGUCAGCAAACCAAGCUGCAGCACCUGUGGUUGUUCAAGCAAAAUCAGGUACCCGUGAAACCAGCCACAGAGACAAAGCAGAUGCCCAAACCGCUGAAGGUAGAAACACGCUUACUCAUAAUCUAGAGGCAUUUUGUGGUCAUUUAGUGUUCAUCCUUCCAUGGCAAGGUCCAAAGCAACGAAGGUACUUGCAACUUGAUAUUUGGAAGCUCGCCAUGUAUCUGGCUCCUUUUUUUGCGAUCGCAAAAAAAUCAAUCUCUAGGAGAGUAUUAACACAUAUCACUGAUAAUGAACAUAACUCUGCAAAGAAAAAGGAAAAAAUGAGAAGGAGAUUAAUAAACGUAGCUGUACAUAUGCUACAUAAAUUUCCAUCUAAUAUUCUCACCUUGGUCCCGGUCUGCAGUAUGUCGUCUUGCCCAUCCAGCCUGAACUGAUAGAGAAAGUUCCAUGUGGCACUUUAUUUGUGAGGAUAUAACAUGAGUCAACAACAAAUUUAUCAUUGUUAUUCAUGGCAAGAUAAUAGAUCAUUCAUAAAUAUAUAUUUUGUUGGAUGUUGAUUACUGGAAAGUAAUACCAAUAUGGGCUUACAAAUUUGGGCAUGCUUCUUUUCACCGACGACACCUAUUAGCAGAGGUAAAUCAUAAUAUUAUAGACAUAUGUUACUAAUAGAAAAUACUACUUUUCCUUUUAUAUUACUUAAAUUAGAACAAUCAAUUUCUUCCAUGUCCCGAAACUUCUCAUUGAGCCUCUCCAUUUAACUCAGCAAUUUUGGGUUAUGGUAAAAUCAUGGGUUUUCAACAAAAUAAAAACAAACAAGACCAAUAAGAAAGAAAACUUAAGAAUUCAAGCCUAUCAGACAAUCAUGCACCUCCGGUGGCAUGUCGACAAUCAGACAUACCAAAACCUUUAGUCCUAAUUUUUCCCCAAUACAAUGUGCGAAACAACAAAUAAUAACCUUGUGUGUGUGUGAAACAACAAAUAAUAACCUUCAUGCCAGCAAUGCAUAUUAAUAUUAGAAGAUCAAAAUGUGUUUCACUGUGUAACAUUUCCAUUGCAUGUACAUAACAUGCUAUGCAUCAAAUCCCCCUGCACAAGAUUCCUCUAUCAUGGCCACACUCGUAUCCAGUGGUGGUGGAGUAGCCUAGGACGUGAAGCAGGGAAAGGGGCACAACAUACCGGUGCGGCCGGCGACGGCGGAGACACAACGGACUGCUCGGCCUCCUCGUCCCCACAAUGCUUUAACUAUCUUGGAUAUCUUUCAAAAAGAAUGCCAAUGAGGGCGUCAGUUGCUACAAAUUCAUGACUUCAAAGAAACACAAAUAACCCAUUAGAUGGUUCAGUACAAAUCAUUUCUUCACUUGCAGUACCAUGUAAAACAUUGAAUAGGUAUGCAUCACUCAUCAUUUCAAAAAGACUUCGAACAAAAACAUUCAACACCUCUGACUCCACAAAGACUUAAGAAAUUAGGGUGCCUAAAUCUUUAUGCAGAACUGGGUACAUCUUACUUAUUAGUUAGCCAACCACCGUAUCCAAGUGGCCCAAUUACGUGAAUACAAUCAGUAUCAAUCAUAAGUAUGAAACAUGAAACUUUCUGAAAUGAUCAGUACUUAUUAGGUCUCAAACUAUACAUAUAGAAACUUGAGACUGCAGACAUGAACGGUCGACUCUGAAACUCCACUCAAAUCACCACAUUAUCUAAGCAUGCUCAGUUAGCAACAGUAAAACAAAUUACAGAAUCUGAAACCUCACACAUUAUUUAGAGAGUACCUUAUUUUCUGUUCUUGCUACACUGGAAUCAAUGUACACUCUGAAUGAAAAAUAACAAACACUUGAUUGAUAUGGUCAUCAUAUAUGAAAUAAGACAGUAUGUGACAAACUAUAUAAAGCCGUAGAUUUUGAUGUACUACUAAUAUUUGGUCAUCCAAACUCAUAUAAUAGUUCCUCACCUGCAAAUCCUCCAGUAGUUGUGCUGACAUAUGAAACAUCUUCUUGAUCUCCCUAAGCUGAAUUCUAUGAUAGCACAGAGCUGAACUCGAAAAAUAAAAUCACACCGUAGGACAUCUACAGGCUAUUUUUACAUGAAAUGAGACUCGAAAACACAUACAAAGGAAAAGGGGACACCUGUUUAAAUAAGCCAUUGAAAGCAGGCUACACAGAGCUCGACAUAUCGCCUUGCGAACCUAGCUCAAUAUCAGCAUUUCUUCGGGCCCAAUCCUCUUUG
Molecule: long non-coding RNA, 2450 nt
Filed under: Triticum aestivum (bread wheat)
Lineage: Eukaryota; Viridiplantae; Streptophyta; Magnoliopsida; Poales; Poaceae
Description: long non-coding RNA (TAES_LNC010628)
Source: RNAcentral